This is a long non-coding RNA of Oncorhynchus nerka (sockeye salmon), 837 nucleotides long. RefSeq lists it as uncharacterized. The transcript is spliced from 2 exons. Lineage: Eukaryota; Metazoa; Chordata; Actinopteri; Salmoniformes; Salmonidae. The record is from RefSeq and is a predicted model, not a curated record.
GACCACUUCCGCUUCCUGUCAACAGAAGCCUUGGACUACUUUCACCGUCCUUCCUUCAUCCCUACCCCAUGGCAUCAGAAACCACAAGGAGAGUGGAUUAAAUCAACAUCAUACAGACACCAGGACAAGGCAGAGACUUGAAGAGAAGUGGUUCAUCUCAUUGGCCACCAGAUGACCUGAGGGGAAAUGAAAAGGACACAUUUAAUUAGUUGAUUUAAAAAUGAAGAGAACUGUGAAGGGCCCGAAGAUGCAACAUGCGUUUCCCAAAAGACCAUGCAGAGAGAACAUUCGCUUAUCGUGUCGUUGAGGCAUGUGUCAAUACUGAUCGGAUCAAAAGAAAGGCAGCGCUGCUCUCAGGCCAGCUUUCUCCAUUGUCAUCUUACCUUAAAGCUGCAGUAUGUAACUUUCUGGGCAACCAGACCAAGUUCACAUAGAAAUGGGUUAUAGAUCUGUCACUCAUUGAAAGCAAGCCUAAGAUGCGGUAGAUCUGUUAUGUGCGCUAUAUCUAUGCUUCCAGUUCUCAAGUUCAGUUUUAGUGUCUUGGUUUUGUACACCAGCUUCACAUUGAUAUGGAAUAGUUAUUUCAGAGCAGUACAAUGAUUCUCUACACAAUGACUGCUUGUUUUAUCCAACUGAAAUUAGGCAAACUAGAAAUUUAGGAACCAGGAAAUGGAGGAGCGAUUUUUCUGCACAUUGCACCUUUAACAUUAGAAUUAUUCCACAAUACUGAUGCUGUAUAAACUCCUAGAGAUUAUCACCUAUGGCUGCUAAUAUUGAGGCAGCUUACCCUAUAAUGGACUAAAUAAAACUCAAUUGAAUAAACAUAACUAAUUUAAA